RNAcentral lists this transfer RNA (74 nucleotides) under Bacteroidales bacterium. RNAcentral describes it as "tRNA-His". It matches the Rfam family "tRNA". From Rfam's summary of the family: Transfer RNA (tRNA) molecules are approximately 80 nucleotides in length. Their secondary structure includes four short double-helical elements and three loops (D, anti-codon, and T loops). Further hydrogen bonds mediate the characteristic L-shaped molecular structure. tRNAs have two regions of fundamental functional importance: the anti-codon, which is responsible for specific mRNA codon recognition, and the 3' end, to which the tRNAs corresponding amino acid is attached (by aminoacyl-tRNA synthetases). tRNAs cope with the degeneracy of the genetic code in two manners: having more than one tRNA (with a specific anti-codon) for a particular amino acid; and 'wobble' base-pairing, i.e. permitting non-standard base-pairing at the 3rd anti-codon position. The record is from RNAcentral. Lineage: Bacteria; Pseudomonadati; Bacteroidota; Bacteroidia; Bacteroidales.
GUGGCCGUAGUUCAGCUGGUUAGAGCGUCAGAUUGUGGUUCUGAAUGUCGUGGGUUCGAAUCCCAUCGGCCACC